This 6729-nucleotide long non-coding RNA is filed under the name Capsicum annuum. RNAcentral describes it as "long non-coding RNA (CANN_LNC005127)". The record is from RNAcentral. Lineage: Eukaryota; Viridiplantae; Streptophyta; Magnoliopsida; Solanales; Solanaceae.
GCGGAUAUUUCCAAAUUAGGAUAACCAAGUUCUCUUCUCGCUUUUAUUUUUGAUCAAAUUAGCCGUCAAACACCCUCUUUAUUUUUUUUAGUGAACUCUAUCAACGUCCACUACCCACACGCCACCAUCUCUCCAUCUCCUUUCACCCAAAAACCACUACUACUCUCCCUUCCUCCUUUUUUUCUAUUUCCACUCUGGUGAGGAGCUUCAAGAUCCAAUAAACUGAGCUCCGUCUAAACUCUCUUAUCCUUUGCUCGGCUUCUCCACCAUUGAUGUGAGCUUGAAGCUCCAACAAUGAAGAAACAACAAAAGAUGUCUUACUCUGACAAACCCCAAAAUAUUGGAGAAACAAACCAGACCCAUAACAUUUCUCCCCUCCCUUUUUCUGAUGAAACAGACCCCAAAACACAAAACAGUGAUACCACAACAACAACUAAACCCAGAAAACACCACCCUCCAUAAAACUAGCACUGUCUUUUGCAACUCUGGUGGUGAUUAACUUUUCAUGAAAUAACAACCACGACCUUCAUGUUGCUCACCAAAACAACAACCCUGAACUAGAUCUGUCCUGAACGAUUUAGCCAGAAAGUUAGACUCAGGUGACCCCUUUUUGCCUUUUUAUAUUUUUGCUAUUAUUUAUAUGUUUUGUCGUUUCCAAGUGUGCUCUCUUUUUUUGAACUAUUUUCUUUACCUUCUUUUACUGAUUUUGUGUUAAUUUUAUUUAAAAUUUUGCUAUGUCGAGAUUUAAGUAUCUCCGAUGAACUAUCUUGAACCAUUAGUUAAUCUUUGUUGAAUUUUAAUAUCUUUUCCGUAUUUAAUUCACCAACUACUGCCACAUUGAUAUUUCAAGUUGUUUAACUUGUUGUCUUUAUUCUUUUUAUACAUUUAUAUGUUUUUCUAGAUCUAUAUUUUUAAUUUUUAUGAGUUGUUUGUUGGAAUAUUUUUUCUUUAUAUUUUCAUAAAAGGGGUGCACAAAUCAAUUUAAUUGGUUAAAGUUCUCCUUAUGUUAUUUAUGUUUCUCUUAAUGAUUGGAAAUAUUUUUCAUUAACAUACGGUCUCAGUUUUUCAUUUUUGCUCACUGUUUCAUCAACUUAUGAAUUUAUUCUUGCUAAUGAUUUAUUUUACUUUUGGUAUUUUUUAAAAUUAUUUGGUUUAUUUCAGUGAUUUAUUUUAAUGUUGAAAAGACUUUUAUAAGAGUGUGUUCAUUUUGCAAUAGUAUUGUUUGGAGGCAUUCUCAGUUAUAACUAAUUGAUUGUUUAAGUGGAUAAGAAAAAAAUAUUUUUGUCUGAUUUUUUAGGCCUCCUCUUAACAAAGAUAAUUUAAUUUUUAUGUUCAAUUAUAUAAUAUCAAAAGUUUUGAUUUACUUGGCUGAUGAAGAAAUUUCCAUUGAUUUUCAAGGUCUCCCAUGUAUACAAGAUGAGUUUUACUUUUUGUUUAUUAUUUUUUAAUUCAUUUUGAUAGACAAAUAGGAGGUCGUCUUCGUUAUUCAUGUCUUACUUUAUUUUUUAUAUAUAUUUUAUAUUUAUUAUACAUGUGUAAAUGAAUUUUUAUCUCCUCCUCAAUUAAAAAAAUGAGUUUAGUCAGAACCCACUUUUGUAGAUUUCGAAGAGUGCCCAAUACCUUCCGUUUGGAAUAACUUGAAUCUUUACCUAAAAUCUAAUUGGUCAUGCAAUUUUUUUUUUCAAUUUAAUCAAUUGGUUUCUUAGUUUUCCUAAAAUUCUGUGGCGACUCUCUAAACAUUUUUACAAUAAUUAAUUAAUUAUUUUCAUAUUCCUAAAGUUGUGCUUUAUGAAAAUAAGAAUGUGACUCUUUUAUUAGCUUUUGAAUGGGUGAAGUAUGGGUGUUCUGCCAAUCUUUGUCAACACAGACCAGUUUCUGUUCUAUUUCCUGAUAUAAUAAAAACAACUCAAAAGACAACUAUGUUAGAUCCUAUUAAUGAUAGAUAAUAUAGAAUAUCUUGACAUAAAGUAAAUACUUAAGAGUUGAUUUAUUGAAGGUGAAUUGGCCCACGGGCGAAUACAAACUCAAAGAGAUUUCAACGGAUAGGACUUCCUCCAUCGAUUUUGAGUAAUCGGAUUUGACACGAUGGAUGAUUUAUAUUGUACCUUUUCUCCUCUUAUUGUCCAUUGAAAUUUCAAUAUCCUUGCCAAAAUAGGGGUAGUAAAAAAAAUUUAAAGGAUAGGGGUCGGCCCCUAGAAAAACUACCUAUAUAUCUUAGUAAAGAUAAAUCAAGCCCUAUGUAGUUCGAAUAUGUAAGGGAUAAGGUCUUUUUAUUUAUUUCACUUUAUCCACCAUGUUCCAUUAGAAGAGAAAAUACAAAAAGGCCAUGAAAAUAAUAGCUAAAAGGAAAAUUUUACUACAUUUGAAGAACUAUUUGAUAGUGGUAGACACUUCCUUCAUUCGGCCUUCUACUUUCAAGAAUAAUAUGGUGGAAACUCAAACUGAAUGCUUAUUAUCUCAACAAAGUGUUCCAGGUUGACUCAAAAUGUGAAUAAGAUUUAAUGUCAUCACCUCUUAUCCUAGAAAGAUAAAGACAAACAUUUUUACCAUAGCGCCAACCCCCAUACAUUUUUCCAACCUUUCCCUCAAUAGGUUUUAUUAUUAUUAUCUUAGCAUGAACCAAAUCUGCAUAGAUAUUAUGGUAGGUCUCUUAGAAAACAACGAAUUCAUAGUUGUAGAUGAGAACAUCUUCACUAUUUAGCAUGCCAAGUCCAACUCUGUCGCAUGCUAGUAUAGUCUACGGACCCCACAUAUUUCUAAUUUAGACAUUGUUGAUGAUUUGAUUAAUUCUAGCCCUCAAGCACUGUAUUCGUUAGUGGUAAGGUGUGCAUCAGUCAGUUCGGUUUGAUUUUAUAUAUUAUUGGUUUGGUUUAUCGAUUUUAAAUUUUUAAAUAUGCUAAACCAAUAACUAAAUCAAUAAGAUAUUUUUUAUCGGUUUUUAAUUUAUCAAUUUAUUGGUUUUUAGUUCUUAAUGGUUUGGUUUUCGAUUUAACCGAUAAGAAAAUACUCAUAAAAUAGAAAUAGUAAUAACUAACAUGAAAUAAAAUCGAAUCUUAGUUGCAACCAAAAAUCCUACAUGAUGUGUUUUAAUUUACAAGAAUUUUCAAGUUUGGACUAAAUGUUAGGAGAAAUUACGAGUCUGUAUAAUUGAAAUAAUAGGUUUGUUAAUUUGUAGAAAUUAAAGAGAAAUUAAGAGAAAAAUAUAAUAAGUCAUAUAUAUAUAUAUAUAUUUAUUUAUUUAUUUAUAUUGGGUUAUCGGUUUACCAUUAAAAAUCGUUAACCUAACAACCCAAUAACAAUAAACCAAUAACAUUUUUAUCGGUCUGUUCGAUUUUUGCACACCCUUAAUUAGUGGUAUGAACCCUAUGACAUGGGCGGUAAGAAUAUUUUUUAUAUUCAUCUCUGUUUUUAUACCUAAAUCCUUUUGUUUGAUCAUCAUGAAGAAUCCCAAGUGACUUCAAGGUUAGAUAGAUGUCAGAGUAUAACACAACUUUGAGGUUUCUUAUCAACUCUUGAGAAUAGAUCCUAAGAAUAAUCUGCUCUUUCCGCCAAAAUAUUGUUGGACAAAUAUCACCGUCCUCAAUCUUGGCCCGAUGUUAAUUCCUGAGAUGGAAAGUUGGACUUGUUAAACACUCUCCUCUUCAGAUUACUCAUUUGUGUUUGUUGCUACAGUAGCUCUCAUGAGUAUCAUCUUUUUUUUUUUGUCGCCUCUUCAACUAAUCUUGUUCUUACUUGUGCUGUCAUUCGGUCAACUGUGGCCAUUUUUUCCUCAAUCAAAGCUAUUUCCUAACCCAUCCUUUGGGACUUUGCGAACAAUGCUUUCUUGAUUUGUUCCACUUUCUCCAUUACUUUCCGUUGUUAUAUAUAUGCCUCCUUUGUUAUCUAUAUAUCAAUAUCCUCUUUUCUUUUUCACAUAGCCUCUUCAGUGUCCAUGAUCAGUCAACUCUUGAAAGGAAUUAAUAGAAUUUAGAGGUUUUUGCAUAAAGGUUUUUAAGGUUCUCUGAAAAACAUGAAAGACUUGGAGUACUUGGUCAGACUAUAUGUAGGGGGCUUAUAUUUCUACCUAGGAACUCUAAAAGAUAUUAUAUAGGAUUGGAUAAAUUCACCUUUCAUAUAAGCAACACACAUAAACACAUAAGAUGGUUAUAUCACGUAAUAAUAUAAUACAUAGCACUUCCUAACUUGCUGACCUUUUUAUCCCAAAGGUGGCCUAAAAAUUUGAAAGUCGUGUGUGUCGUAUUGAAUCGUUCAAUUCCCCCAAAAUAAGAUUUAAUAUCAGGAAGUGAUAGGAAAGGAAGUUUGUCUAGUGUAUGAAUGCUUUGGUCUAUCAACUAGGUUUCCAAGGCACUAGAAUGAGUUUCAAUCCUAUUAAGAGUGGGCCGAAAUCUUCUCAAAAUUGAUAAAAAAAAAAAAGUGGCUUGACUUUAAUUAAAUUCAAAAACUGAGAAAAUUCUCAAAUUUAACUAAAAUAUGGAGUCAUCACUUAAUAUAUUAAGGAAAAUAAAGAAAACCUCUGAAAAAAAUCCUUAAAGACUUGACAUUAAAAGACUUCAAUAUUCAAGAAAUUUCAAGUAAGAGUUCAAAUUAAUACUUUUGAAAGAUUGUCAAGGGACCAAGAAUAUCUGUUAACUUGCAAUUAUCCAUUUAUUUCUAAAAAUACGUGUUUCGGACUAACUUUAAAAAAUUGUUUAGAUAAGGAAAAGACUUAAAUGUUUUUGAAAGUUUUUUAAACAAAAUAAAAUCCCAUUUGCUAGGAAAAUCACUUAUUGAGAAAUUAUUAUAGACGAGAAACGAUUUAUAGAUACUCCCUCCGUUUCGAAUUAGUUAGCCCCUAUAGACUUGGCACACCCAUUAAGAAAAUAUUAAUUAGGUGUUUAUUGUACCAAAUUAACCUUAUUAAUUAUUCUUUGAAAAUAUAAAUUUGAAUAAAUAUACUUUGUUUAGUCAUUUAAUGUUGAGGGUAGUAUUGAAAAACAUAAUAAAAUUCUCUUGUUUUCAUCAAAGGGACUACUAAAUUGAAACAAAUAUUUUUAGAAAGAGAACCAACUAAAACGAAAUAGAGGGAGUAUUAUUUUUGAGCGAUUCAAUUUUUAAAGAAAAGGUUGGGUGAUUUAAACGAAUUCAAGUGUAGAUUUUAAGAUAAAAGAACUUGUUAAGAUUUUAAGAUUGAUUGACCAAUUUAAAAGAAUAAUAUCAGGCAAUAGAUGAUUUCAUUUGUGAAAAGAUGGUACUCCAAUGAAAAAUCUACUAAGGUUAUAUUAGUAUCUAUAAAAUAUCAUAAAAAUAUACAAAAUAAAUAAAGGGAAGGGAAAAGGUGGAGUUUAAGCAAUUUAGCCCAAAACUCCUAAGUAUCUGAUUUAGAGCCCGCUGAUAGGAUUAAAAAAAUUAGAUUUUAGCGUAUGUGCUUAAAAGUUGAAAAUAAGUGUUUAUAAAUUAAGCAGAUAAGUGUUGCAUAGAAGUGCUGAAACUGAAAAAAAGUUGUUGAUGUGUUUGGUAAACAAGUGUUGUUAAUCAUUUUUUUAUUGUCAAAAUAACUUAAAAGUCCUUAAAGUUGUUAACACCAUAAAUAAGUUGAAUUUAUAUAAUUUUUAAUUCUAAUAAUUCAAAACAAAGGAGAAGAAAGAUGAAGAGGAAAUUGCAAGGAAUAGAUGGAGAGAAGCAACAAAGAGAAAAAGAAAGAAAAAAUUAUAUACUUAAUGGUUACAAAUUUAGGGUAUUGUUGGAAUUGGAGGAAAAUAUAAGGAAUAAAAAGGUAAAUUUCUUGGUCAAAUUUAAAAGAAUUUAAUCUAAAAAGUAAGAAGUUAAGGGUACCCAGCUUCUUACUUUUUGCUUUUUAAUUAUUUUUAGUUUUUUCAAUUAUUUUUUUAUUUUAUCAAACACCUAAGAAAAAAUUAAAAAGAGAUUAAAAGUUGGUUUGACCAGAUUUUAAUUCUAUCCAAACGGGCUCUUAAACUUCUAAAAUAUAUGUUGGGCCUAGCUCAUUUUCGCUGCAUAUCUACUGAAUAACUUGCUAUAACAAUGGAAAAAUUACACAAAACCACAAACCUAAGACACCUUAUUACCCAAAAUACCUUAUCUUUUAAACAACUACUUAAUAUUCGGAUUUAAUAUUUUACUCUUGAUACAUAUGAACAAAACAUUCAUCCUACUUUUACUCCAUAAUUAAUCCAUGCAAUUCAUUAUUUUUCCAAAAAUUUCAUCCCCUAAAAUCUCUCCCAAAUUAUCAUCAAUUAAUACAACUUUCAUCUCCAUUACUGUAACCUCUUCACUUAAGCAAUCAUUGUCUUUUUUUAUCUUUUUAUCAACUUUUCUUUUAUCAAGGUGGCGGUGAUGGGGCGGAUGAAUGAAGAAAGGGAUGGGGUAGUCAAGGUGGCGGUGAUGGUGCAGAUGAACGACAGAAGGGAUGGGGUAGUCAAGGUGGUGGUGAUGGUGCGGAUGAACGACGAAGGGUGGUGGUGGUGGAUUAUAUGUAUCAAUCAUAAAUAAAUUGAACAAUCAGUUGUUAGAUUUUCGACGAGAAUGAUCAAAGUGGCGAUGGUGGUGAGGACGAAUAACGGAGGGGAUGGGGUAGCUAAGGUGGUGGUGAUGGUGCGAACGAACGAUAGAGGGGUGGUGGUGGUAGAUUAUAUGUAUCAAUCAUAAGUAUCAAGAAAUAUACAUAUGUAUCAAUUAUAUGUAUCAAAUAAAUGUAUUUAAUAUCAAUAUAGAUAUAUAUAUCAAGAACUUGUG